UAGGAGGCCCAAAAGAGGGGCGACAGAACAUGAUGUUGACACGGGCUGGGCGCCCCCAGAAGCCCGGGAACAAACGUUUCUACUUUCCAGGUCCACUGGUGUUUGGUGUACCCAUGUGACUAAUUUGUCCAAAGAGAGAUUUCUGUGAAUAGACCAGAAGCCGACCUUUACAGUGUGUUUGGGUGCAGAUUCUAGAGGAUGUCUGUGUGCCUUUCUCCCCUUUCAAACGAUAGGGAAGAUAUACUGAGUCCUGUCUUCAGCUAGGGGAUGCCCUGGCCUCCUUCCUAUCUUCAAAGCCUGCAAGAGUGGGCUGAGUCCUUCUCACUCCACCCUCUUCUUUUGUGUACCUUUUCCACUUGUAAGGACCCUUGUAAUUGCAUUGGAUUCACCUGGAUAACCCAGACUGAUCUCCCUAUUUUAAGGUUCAACAGUGUCCUUUCAUUUCAGCCUGAAGAACACCCUUUUGUAUUUCUUAUAGGUCAGGUCUGCUAGAAACAGAUUCUCUCAGAUAUUGUCUAUCUGCGAACAUCUUAAUUUCUCCUUAAUUUUUCAAUUAGUUUUAGUGGAUGUAGAAUUUUUGGUUGAUAGUCUUUCUUUCUGCACUUCAAAUAUAUCAUCCUACUGCUUUUUUGCCUCCAUGGUUUCUGAUGAGAAAUUGACUGUUAACUUUUUGAAGAUCCCUGUAUGUGAAGAUUCACUUCUCUGUUGGUGAUUUCAAUUUUUUUUUUGUUUUUUUUGUCUUUGACUUUCAAUAUGUGUCUAAGAUGUGAAUCUCUUUGAAUUUAUCCUGCUUGGGUUUUGUGGAGGUUCUUGGAUAAAUGUUAAGAUUUAUGCUUUUCAUCAAAUUUGGGAAUGUUUGUGAAUUUUUUGAACAUUUUUCUGCCUGUUGUUUCUCCUUUCCUUCAAAGAUUCCCAUUAAGUGUAUGUUAGUAUGCUUGAUCAUGUCCCACAGAUCUCUGAGGUUCUGUUCAUUUUUAUUCAUUUAAAAAAAUUCUGGCCGUUGUAUUGAAUAAUAUUAAUUGACCUGUCUUUAAGUUCACAGAUUCUUUCUUCUGUCUGUUCAGAGCUAGUGCUGAGUAGUAUUUAAAAUAGCUGAUAUAAUAUAUUUUUCAAGUUAGUCCAGCGUUUUGGCUUUCUCAGGGAUAGUUUCAAUUGGCCACUUCUCCCUGCACAUCCCCCAUGGUAUAUGUACUAUGCUCUCUUGCUUCUUUGCAUGGCUUAUAAUUUUCUGUUGAAAACUAGACAUCUAAAAUAAUAUAAUGUAGUGACUCAAAAAUCAGAUUCUCUCCAGGAUUUAUUGUUGGUUU
Long non-coding RNA from Homo sapiens (human), 1307 nucleotides. Ensembl annotates it as ARRDC3 antisense RNA 1. Its record names the gene ARRDC3-AS1. The record is from Ensembl. NCBI's taxonomy places the organism in Eukaryota, Metazoa, Chordata, Mammalia, Primates, Hominidae.